UACAGAGGGUGCGAGCGUUAAUCGGAAUUACUGGGCGUAAAGCGCGCGUAGGCGGCUUUGCAAGUCGAGUGUGAAAUCCCCAGGCUUAACCUGGGAACUGCAUUCGAGACUGCAUAGCUAGAGUAUGGGAGAGGGAAGUGGAAUUUCAGGUGUAGCGGUGAAAUGCGUAGAUAUCUGAAGGAACAUCAGUGGCGAAAGCGACUUCCUAGACCAAUACUGACGCUCAUGUGCGAAAGCGUGGGGAGCAAACAGG
This 253-nucleotide ribosomal RNA is filed under the name uncultured bacterium. Its description in RNAcentral is "partial 16S ribosomal RNA". It matches the Rfam family "Bacterial small subunit ribosomal RNA", at positions 524 to 776 of the family's 1533-position model. The record is from RNAcentral.